This 73-nucleotide transfer RNA is filed under the name Ailuropoda melanoleuca (giant panda). It matches the Rfam family "tRNA". From Rfam's summary of the family: Transfer RNA (tRNA) molecules are approximately 80 nucleotides in length. Their secondary structure includes four short double-helical elements and three loops (D, anti-codon, and T loops). Further hydrogen bonds mediate the characteristic L-shaped molecular structure. tRNAs have two regions of fundamental functional importance: the anti-codon, which is responsible for specific mRNA codon recognition, and the 3' end, to which the tRNAs corresponding amino acid is attached (by aminoacyl-tRNA synthetases). tRNAs cope with the degeneracy of the genetic code in two manners: having more than one tRNA (with a specific anti-codon) for a particular amino acid; and 'wobble' base-pairing, i.e. permitting non-standard base-pairing at the 3rd anti-codon position. The record is from Rfam by way of RNAcentral. Lineage: Eukaryota; Metazoa; Chordata; Mammalia; Carnivora; Ursidae.
GCCUGGUGGGCUCAGUGGGAAGAGCAUGUGACUCUUGAUCUCGGGGUUGUGAGUUUGAGCCCCACAUUGGGUG